Molecule: long non-coding RNA, 583 nt
Organism: Hemibagrus wyckioides
Lineage: Eukaryota; Metazoa; Chordata; Actinopteri; Siluriformes; Bagridae
Exons: 3
Source: RefSeq, a predicted model, not a curated record
AAGCGACAGUCUCGCCGAGGAUUCGGAUUUCAUUCUAACAGGGGCUUCACUCGCGAUCUCACGAGAUCACUGCGUUCCGCAGGGACUGAAAUUCGUCAGUAAUAGUCCGUCGAUAGUGAAGAGGUUGUUUACAGAUCCGGCUGAAUCACACGCGUGUUCACCUGCGUGUUCAACCAGGGAAGUGGAGUGCGGAUCUCAAUGCAUGAUUAACAGUGUGUUUGUGUGAAUAAGUUUUUUUGAUACAAGCCUUCUUUUUUAAAAACAAUCAGAGACCGAAACGGAUAACGCCCCCGAACCAAAUCAGGAAGCAGAGCGAUGCCGGAGAGAGCGCGGACAUCCCGCUAGACCUCUGUUUAAACACAGGUUUGCUCAGCGACGGGUUAACAGCAACGUCUCUAACCAGGAAGUGAGACCUGAAUGGUUCCGACGGCCGACUCUCCGCCAGUGCCGUGACGGAGGAUUCUUGCGCUUCGCCUCUUCGGCAAGAUCCUCUACAGGCAAUAGAAAAUGCAAUCCUCAGUUUAAAUAGAUCUGAUAAUCCGUUUCUGGAAAUUGAAGCCACUAUUUGUUCUAUAAACACAGA